This 637-nucleotide ribosomal RNA is filed under the name Serratia marcescens. Its description in RNAcentral is "partial 23S ribosomal RNA". It matches the Rfam family "Bacterial large subunit ribosomal RNA", at positions 1 to 674 of the family's 2925-position model. Lineage: Bacteria; Pseudomonadati; Pseudomonadota; Gammaproteobacteria; Enterobacterales; Yersiniaceae. The record is from RNAcentral.
GUUGUGAGGUUAAGUGACUAAGCGUACACGGUGGAUGCCUAGGCAGUCAGAGGCGAUGAAGGGCGUGCUAAUCUGCGAAAAGCGUCGGUAAGGUGAUAUGAACCGUUAUAACCGGCGAUACCCGAAUGGGGAAACCCAGUGUGUUUCGACACACUAUCAUGUCAUGAAUACAUAGUGGCAUGAGGCGAACCGGGGGAACUGAAACAUCUAAGUACCCCGAGGAAAAGAAAUCAACCGAGAUUCCCCCAGUAGCGGCGAGCGAACGGGGAGGAGCCCAGAACCUGAAUCGGCUUGUGUGUUAGUGGAAGCGUCUGGAAAGUCGCGCAGCAAAGGGUGAUAGCCCCGUACACUAAAAUGCACAGGUCGUGAGUUCGAUGAGUAGGGCGGGACACGUGACAUCCUGUCUGAAUAUGGGGGGACCAUCCUCCAAGGCUAAAUACUCCUGACUGACCGAUAGUGAACCAGUACCGUGAGGGAAAGGCGAAAAGAACCCCGGCGAGGGGAGUGAAAUAGAACCUGAAACCGUGUACGUACAAGCAGUGGGAGCACCUUCGUGGUGUGACUGCGUACCUUUUGUAUAAUGGGUCAGCGACUUAUAUUUUGUAGCAAGGUUAACCGUAUAGGGGAGCCGUAGGGA